UUGCCUACAAUGGUCNUCUCGACCCAUCUGAUGAAGCGCAUCCAGAAGGGACCCGUUCGUGGGAUCUCCCUGAAACUGCAGGAGGAGGAGCGCGAGCGCCGGAUGGACUUCGUGCCGCCCGAAUCUGCCAUCAAGACCGAUCGUAUUGAGGUUGAUCAGGAGACUGUUGAUUUAUUGGAGGCUCUUGGAAUGAAGGAUCUUCCUGGGGUUGUUCUUAGAGAGGACCAGGGCCCGAUUAAUGUGGCGCCGGCAAUGACGUACGGCCGCGGCAGUGGUCGGCGGUACUGAUAUACAGGAAUGCAACGAUCUGAAUUGGAAUUUUUUGAGUUAAUGUGACUUUUUGGAUGCUAUUUAGUAAUGGAUUAUUGUUAGUUUUACUCUUUUUUCGUUAUAUAUUGACACUGGGGAUUAUUUGCUUUUCAAGAAUUUGUGUCUAAUUUUAAUGCAUUAUGGUCUUUUACCUGGGACAAUGCCGUUCCAGGUUUAUAAACAGAGGUUAUAUUUUUCAUUUAAACCUUUGGAAGAAGAUUGAAAUAGCUUGUCAAAUGAAUUUUAAGUGCAUUAAUUUCUUUGUGGAAUUGGUCAUUUAAAUGGUAAAUUUUUGGUAGCAAGUAUGCUGGAUGGGGUAUAGGCUUACAAAAAUGCAGGUAUUUGACGAUUCUGAAGUUAAUUUGUCGUUGAUUGGUCAUCCAAAUAAUUUGCAACCUGUAAUUCAGGAUUACGUAUAUAAGGAAUUACAUAAAGGGGAUUUUGUUUAAGAAGCCUAGUCAACCAUAUAUCAAUAAUUUUUGUUUAAGUAGUCUAAAGUCUAUUUGAUUAUAUAUUAAAAAUCUUAAAUACCCUUAAGUUGAAAUGACUAAAAUAUCCAAUUUGAAAAUGAAUAUUAUCCAAAUCCCCAAAUAUAAAUCCCUAAAUCCCCUUCAUUUCUCUCGUUUCCAAGUCCAUUCUCACCAUAUUAAACUCUCCUUCAAAUUCAGUUGUAUUCUUCUUCAUAUGCAUUAUUCUUGCUUACAAUGAAUGAUUGCAUGUUGAAGUUCCCUUUCUUGAACCAAGAACAAAUGAAAUAGUGCAAAUUUUGGAGGUGGGUUAGCAAGAAUCGAUUUCACACAGUUGAAGGUGAGCUUUAUAAAUUGAAAAUUAUAGAUUUGUUGUUAUUUUCUAGUUGUAUACUAUGAGAAAAAUCAAUUGGAUAAUUAAAAUUUGCUGUAAAAUAUUGAAACUAAUGGUGCCGUUUCUCAGUAGUUGGGUGCUCUUUUUUCUCAGCUGGCUGCCGUUUUAAUAAGACAAUGGAGGUAUUGAUAUACUUGUUGGCAAAUUAGUUGUUUCCCCAUUCUUUUAUAGCAUUUUAUUAUCAUAAAUAAAUUUAAACGGCACAUACACAUUUUAAAUUACGAAAUGCCGUUUUGUUCUGCUGAAAUGUGUUAUGUAACAAUAUGAGUAGCCUUUUGUUUGUUAUUGAAGUUGUGAUUCAUAGUACUCAGUUUUGGCAAUUAAUGGAGUAAUAUAUUAUAUAUAUAUUUUUAUUGAAUUGCAGAUAUGGACUCUGGUGCAAUGAUUGUUAUUUGUUAUUUUGUUAAAUUUGAAAAGAGUGAUGAAGAUGAAUGGAGUUGGAAAUGGAUAGGGAAUGAUGAAGACACCGCAACAAAUAUUUUUGUAUCAAAAACAAUCUCAUAUGCAGAGUUGUAUAACGAAGUCCGAAAAGCAGUUAAGGUUGAUCCCAAUGUGUAUGACAUCGAGAUGAAAUUUCUCGUUCCCGGCAUGGCAAAAUUAUCAGUUCCGCCAAUGAAGAUUACUUGCGAUAUGGAUGUUAGUUGGUUUCUUUCUUUGCAUGACAAAGUUCCAAUUUGUGUAACCCUUGUAGAAAAGGGUUAUGUUGAUCAAGAAGACAUGAAUGUUGAUAUUGUAAAUGUUCAGGAGAAUCAUGAAUGUAUUUCAAAUGUUGUUGCAACUAACAAUGCGGUGGAGAUGGAUGAAUUGUAUAUGCAAAAUGAUCAGUCCGAUGACAAUUAUAUGCGACCGUUGUCUCCAUGUAAUCAAAAUUGUGAAAACGAUUGUGUGAACUUUACAAGUGAUGAUUAUUGGGAUGGGGUAGAAGUAGUGCAUGGA
RNAcentral lists this long non-coding RNA (2106 nucleotides) under Olea europaea subsp. europaea. Lineage: Eukaryota; Viridiplantae; Streptophyta; Magnoliopsida; Lamiales; Oleaceae. The record is from RNAcentral.